CCUACGGGUGGCAGCAGUGAGGAAUAUUGGUCAAUGGGCGGAAGCCUGAACCAGCCAAGUCGCGUGAGGGAUUAAGGCCCUGCGGGUCGUAAACCUCUUUUGCCGGGGAGCAGAGGUCCGGACGUGUCCGGGCCGGGAGAGUACCCGGAGAAAAAGCAUCGGCUACCCCCGUGCCAGCAGCCGCGGUAAUACGGGGGAUGCGAGCGUUAUCCGGAUUUAUUGGGUUUAAAGGGUGCGUAGGCGGGCAUUUAAGCCGGCGGUCAAAUGUCGGGGCUCAACCCCGGCCUGCCGUCGGAACUGGGUGCCUUGAGUGGGCGGGAGGUAUGCGGAAUGCGUGGUGUAGCGGUGAAAUGCAUAGAUAUCGCGCAGAACCCCGAUUGCGAAGGCAGCAUACCGGCGCCCUACUGACGCUGAGGCACGAAAGUGCGGGUAUCGAACAGGAUUAGAUACCCUGGUAGUC
This 460-nucleotide ribosomal RNA is filed under the name uncultured bacterium. RNAcentral describes it as "partial 16S ribosomal RNA". It matches the Rfam family "Bacterial small subunit ribosomal RNA", at positions 338 to 795 of the family's 1533-position model. The record is from RNAcentral.